GAUGAACGCUGGCGGCGUGCCUAAUACAUGCAAGUCGAGCGAACAGACGAGGAGCUUGCUCCUCUGACGUUAGCGGCGGACGGGUGAGUAACACGUGGAUAACCUACCUAUAAGACUGGGAUAACUUCGGGAAACCGGAGCUAAUACCGGAUAAUAUAUUGAACCGCAUGGUUCAAUAGUGAAAGACGGUUUUGCUUUCACUUAUAGAUGGAUCCGCGCCGCAUUAGCUAGUUGGUAAGGUAACGGCUUACCAAGGCAACGAUGCGUAGCCGACCUGAGAGGGUGAUCGGCCACACUGGAAAUGAGACACGGUCCAGACUCCUACGGGAGGCAGCAGUAGGGAAUCUUCCGCAAUGGGCGAAAGCCUGACGGAGCAACGCCGCGUGAGUGAUGAAGGUCUUCGGAUCGUAAAACUCUGUUAUUAGGGAAGAACAAAUGUGUAAGUAACUAUGCACGUCUUGACGGUACCUAAUCAGAAAGCCACGGCUAACUACGUG
Molecule: ribosomal RNA, 497 nt
Filed under: uncultured bacterium
Lineage: Bacteria
Description: partial 16S ribosomal RNA
Rfam family: Bacterial small subunit ribosomal RNA
Source: RNAcentral